AAGGAAGCCGUAGAGAAAUCGAGUCUUAAGAGGGCGCGAGUCGCUGGGAGUAGACCCGAAACCGGGCGAUCUAGCCAUGUGCAGGAUGAAGGUUGGGUAACACCAAGUGGAGGUCCGAACCGGGUAAUGUUGAAAAAUUAUCGGAUGACGUGUGGCUAGGAGUGAAAGGCUAAUCAAGCCCGGAGAUAGCUGGUUCUCCCCGAAAGCUAUUUAGGUAGCGCCUCGUGAAUGAUUGCUGGGGGUAGAGCACUGUUUCGGCUAGGGGGCUGUCAUGGCUUACCAAACCGAUGCAAACUCCGAAUACUGGCUAAUUGAAUCACGGGAGACACACGGCGGGUGCUAACGUCCGUCGUGAAGAGGGCAACAACCCAGACCGCCAGCUAAGGUCCCGAAGUGAUGAUUAAGUGGGAAACGAUGUGGGAAGGCAUAGACAGCCAGGAGGUUGGCUUAGAAGCAGCCACCCUUUAAAGAAAGCGUAAUAGCUCACUGGUCGAGUCGGCCUGCGCGGAAGAUGUAACGGGGCUAAAAUCAUCCACCGAAGCUGCGGAUGUGCACUUGAGUGCACGUGGUAGGGGAGCGUUCUGUAGGCUGAAGAAGGUAGAUUGAGAAGUCUGCUGGAGGUAUCAGAAGUGCGAAUGCUGACAUGAGUAACGAUAAAGAAGGUGAAAAACCUUCUCGCCGGAAGUCCCAGGUUUCCUGCACGACGUUAAUCGGAGCAGGGUGAGUCGGCCCCUAAGGCGAGGCAGAGAUGCGUAGUUGAUGGGAACCAGGUUAAUAUUCCUGGACUUUUUAUAAGUGGUGAAGUGGGGACGAAGAAGGCUAGGUGAGCCGGGCGAUGGUUGUCCUGGUACUUGCAUGUAGGCUGAGAGACCUGGCAAAUCCGGUUUCUUAUAAGGCUGAGGUGCGAAGUGGUUUCGACACUACGGUGUGCGAAGAAGUCAUUGAAGCCAAGCUUCCAGGAAAAGCUGCUAGCCAUAACUUAUAGAGAACCGUACCGCAAACCGACACAGGUGGACAAGUAGAGUAUACUAAGGCGCAUGAGAGAACUCGGGUGAAGGAACUAGGCAAAAUGGUACCGUAACUUCGGGAGAAGGUACGCCCUUUUGGGUGAGCUGCUUUACGUAGUGAGCUUGAGAGGGCCGCAGAGACCAGGUGGCUGCGACUGUUUAUUAAAAACACAGCACUCUGCAAAUUCGUAAGAAGACGUAUAGGGUGUGACGCCUGCCCGGUGCCGGAAGGUUAAUUGAUGGGGUUAUCCUGCCACCAGAUUGUUCGUCAAUCAAGGCGUGGUGUGAAGAGAUGAAGGAGUUUACAUAGGUAAAUGACUGAGUUGAUGAGCAUCACAACGCGGAGUGACGAGGAAUGUGGUGGCAGGAGAAGCUCUUGAUCGAAGCCCCGGUAAACGGCGGCCGUAACUAUAACGGUCCUAAGGUAGCGAAAUUCCUUGUCGGGUAAGUUCCGACCUGCACGAAUGGCGUAACGAUGGCCACACUGUCUCCACCCGAGACUCAGUGAAAUUGAAAUCGCUGUGAAGAUGCAGUGUACCCGCGGCUAGACGGAAAGACCCCGUGAACCUUUACUAUAGUUUUGCACUGGACUUUGAUGAUGACUGUGUAGGAUAGGUGGGAGGCUAAGAAGUACGGACGCCAGUUCGUAUGGAGCCGCCCUUGAAAUACCACCCUGUUGUUAUUGAGGUUCUAACUUGGUCCAGUAAUCCUGGAUGAGGACAGUGUAUGAUGGGUAGUUUGACUGGGGCGGUCUCCUCCCAAAGAGUAACGGAGGAGCACAAAGGUACCCUCGGUACGGUCGGACAUCGUACCAAGAGUGUAAAGGCAUAAGGGUGCUUGACUGCGAGAGUGACGGCUCGAGCAGGUACGAAAGUAGGUCUUAGUGAUCCGGUGGUUCUGAAUGGAAGGGCCAUCGCUCAACGGAUAAAAGGUACUCCGGGGAUAACAGGCUGAUACCGCCCAAGAGUUCAUAUCGACGGCGGUGUUUGGCACCUCGAUGUCGGCUCAUCACAUCCUGGGGCUGAAGCAGGUCCCAAGGGUAUGGCUGUUCGCCAUUUAAAGUGGUACGCGAGCUGGGUUUAGAACGUCGUGAGACAGUUCGGUCCCUAUCUGCCGUGGGCGUAGGAAAAUUGAGAGGAGCUGCUCCUAGUACGAGAGGACCGGAGUGGACGAACCUCUGGUGUACCGGUUGUCACGCCAGUGGCAUUGCCGGGUAGCUAAGUUCGGACGGGAUAACCGCUGAAAGCAUCUAAGCGGGAAGCCUCCCUCAAGAUGAGUUUU
Molecule: ribosomal RNA, 2288 nt
Filed under: Legionella fairfieldensis ATCC 49588
Lineage: Bacteria; Pseudomonadati; Pseudomonadota; Gammaproteobacteria; Legionellales; Legionellaceae
Description: bacterial LSU rRNA
Rfam family: Bacterial large subunit ribosomal RNA
Source: RNAcentral